This 253-nucleotide ribosomal RNA is filed under the name uncultured bacterium. Its description in RNAcentral is "partial 16S ribosomal RNA". It matches the Rfam family "Bacterial small subunit ribosomal RNA", at positions 524 to 776 of the family's 1533-position model. The record is from RNAcentral.
UACGGAGGGUGCAAGCGUUAGUCGGAAUUACUGGGCGUAAAGGGUGCGUAGGCGGGCAGAUAAGUCAGUUGUGAAAUUCCGGGGCUCAACCCCGGAGCAGCAACUGAAACUAUCUAUCUAGAGGGAUGGCGGAGAAAACGGAAUUCCACGUGUAGCGGUGAAAUGCGUAGAUAUGUGGAAGAACAUCUGUGGCGAAGGCGGUUUUCUAGCCUCCCCCUGACGCUGAGGCACGAAAGCGAGGGGAGCAAACAGG